UUGAGAAAUCUAUAAAAGAGAUCAUUUCUUUAGUUCCUUUCUAGAGAAGUUCUCUGAACAUAUAGAGUACCGGAAACCACAAGGAAGAAGCACAGUGUUCUCUGGCUCUUGGUGUUGCUUUGCUGCAACUGCCAUUUGCGUUGAUGAUUGGUCUUCUCAUCCUUUGGAGGAAUAAGAGGGAGUGGAUGUGGC
Molecule: small nucleolar RNA, 192 nt
Organism: Heterocephalus glaber (naked mole-rat)
Lineage: Eukaryota; Metazoa; Chordata; Mammalia; Rodentia; Bathyergidae
Gene: U3
Rfam family: Small nucleolar RNA U3
About the family: Small nucleolar RNAs (snoRNAs) are involved in the processing and modification of rRNA in the nucleolus. There are two main classes of snoRNAs: the box C/D class, and the box H/ACA class. U3 snoRNA is a member of the box C/D class.
Source: Ensembl